UGACAGGUGGUAAACCUGACAACUCGCCUGGGAAAACAACUAAGAACUCUCUAACUAUUACCACUGAGGCUGGUUCCCUGACCUGACUGCAAAACUUUCAAACAAGAGCUAGAACCCUCUGACAACCCCUCCUACGUACCCUACGAACCUGAUAGGCUAACAUCAAACCUCUAGGCAUCCCUACUGUGUUCCCUCAGAAGAA
This 202-nucleotide long non-coding RNA is filed under the name Manihot esculenta (cassava). RNAcentral describes it as "long non-coding RNA (MESC_LNC004709)". The record is from RNAcentral. Lineage: Eukaryota; Viridiplantae; Streptophyta; Magnoliopsida; Malpighiales; Euphorbiaceae.